CGUCUAUAUACGUAUAGCAUAUCAAUAAGCGGAGGAAAAGAAACUAACUAGGAUUCCCAUCAGUAACGGCGAGUGAAGCGGGAAGAGCUCAAAUUUGAAAUCCUCAAGGUUUUACCUUGACGAAUUGUAGUUUAAAGAAGUGUUUUCUGUUGGAGUUUUGGUAAAAGUUCUUUGGAAUAGGACAUCAUAGAGGGUGAGAAUCCCGUAUUUGACCAUUAUUUCCAACUUUGUGAUACACUUUCAAAGAGUCGGAUUGUUUGGGAAUGCAGUCCAAAAUGGGUGGUAAAUUUCAUCUAAAGCUAAAUACUGGCGAGAGACCGAUAGCGAACAAGUACCGUGAGGGAAAGAUGAAAAGAACUUUGAAAAGAGAGUUAAACAGUACGUGAAAUUGUCAAAAGGGAAGCGUUUGACACCAGUGUUGUUUUCUCGAAAAUCAAUUAAAAAUGCAUGGAUUUUGUGUUGUAUUGACUUUAUCAGCUUUCUGCACUCUUUUCUUGUCUUUUUUAAUGCACUUUUCGUUUAACAAGUCAACAUCAAUUUCUUUUGUUGUAAAAGGGUCAUUGGAAGGUGGCUUUCUUUUCGGAGAAAGUGUUUAUAGCCUUUGACUCCUGCAAUCGGAGAGAUUGAGGUCUGCAGCGUAGAUCCUUCGGGGUUAGAUACAUUUGUGCUAAGUUAUAGCCUUUCAUAGACAACUUGUUGACUAUGAUCAGUCAUGUAGCUUACUCGCUUAUGUCUAUUUUACCUACGCUUAGGAUGUUGAUCUGUAGUGCGUGCGC
This 776-nucleotide ribosomal RNA is filed under the name uncultured Neocallimastigales. Its description in RNAcentral is "partial large subunit ribosomal RNA". It matches the Rfam family "Eukaryotic large subunit ribosomal RNA", at positions 26 to 632 of the family's 3401-position model. Lineage: Eukaryota; Fungi; Neocallimastigomycota; Neocallimastigomycetes; Neocallimastigales. The record is from RNAcentral.